GGGCUGCUUUCAAGCUCUGCGUGUGGUGAGGGGGUCACCCAUCCUGCAGGCAGAUGGACUGGACCUUCCUCAGUAAGGUACCACCAGCUCUUGCCCACGAACAAUCGAUAAAGCACAGGGGUGAAUACAGAGCUGGACAGCCCCUGCAGCGGGUGCUGGCUGGCAGCUGCAGAGCUAGGACACACAGCCUCACCACCUGACAGCCUUCUUCAUUGCAGAAGGUGCCCAGGAAGUCUCCAGCUGUGACAAUUUGCAGGGGAACCAUGAGACAUCCCAAUGGGGGGAGUCCCACGUGUCAGGAGGUGUUUGGAGGUGACCCAGGGCAGAAGACAACCAAGUGGGCUCUGACUCAAGGUUUGAGGGGAAUCUUUCAGUUUUGCUUUCAUUAACCUAUGAAUCCUGCUUACAGCAACUGUGGCUGCCAGGCAUCCCCAAACGGAGCUGCUGCUGGAUGGACAUAAACUUUGUCUUGAUGUGGAGAGGAAACAUGUCUAAGAGGCUGGACCAUGCUGGCAGACCUCCAAGGCCUUAUGCUGAUUUGCCCAGGUGGAGACUCCAACCUGUUAUUGCUGUCUGGGAAAACCAGAUCUGUGUGUCCUUGAGAAGAACAUAUAGAAGGUCAGAGUGUGGACUGGGGAAAAAUGGACCAGAUCUACCUCUUCUGCUUCCCUCUGUGCUUGUGAAGGGUAGAGCAAAGCAUUGACUUAGGAAGGCAGGGUGAGCCUGUGGAAAUCAGAUGCAACACAGAGGAGGAGGAGGAGGAAGAGAAAGAGGAGGAGGAGGAGGAAGGACAUAGGGUCUUCAGUAUCAGGAGGGAAAUGUGGAACCUCAGCUUUCAAAAGUCAUCCAGUUGGGCUCACACUCCAGCUCACACUGGCUGGAGAAACAAGUCUUCAUACACAGAAACAAACAUUCAAAACAAAUAAAAAAGUAUUUUAAAAUAUUGUCCUGUCUGGCUUCUCCAGAUGUGUUUUUUAGUGACUCUGGAGGCGCCUUUUUUCUGGAGUCCUGUGCUCCCAUUA
Molecule: long non-coding RNA, 1022 nt
Organism: Taeniopygia guttata (zebra finch)
Lineage: Eukaryota; Metazoa; Chordata; Aves; Passeriformes; Estrildidae
Source: RefSeq, a predicted model, not a curated record